This 301-nucleotide ribosomal RNA is filed under the name uncultured bacterium. Its description in RNAcentral is "bacterial SSU rRNA". It matches the Rfam family "Bacterial small subunit ribosomal RNA", at positions 775 to 1067 of the family's 1533-position model. The record is from RNAcentral.
GGAUUAGAUACCCUGGUAGUCCACGCCGUAAACGAUGUGCACUAGGUGGAUGUUCACGUUGGAAUGUUUGCCGGAGAUAAUUUGUUAAGUGCACCGCCUGGGGAGUAUGGUCGCAAGGCUGAAACUCAAAGGAAUUGACGGGGGCUCACACAAGCGGUGGAGGAUGUGGUUUAAUUCGAAGCAACGCGAAGAACCUUACCAGGCCUUGACAUAGACGUAGUACGACACUCGAAAGGUGAAGGAUCUUGGGUUUACCAAGAAGCGUUUACAGGUGCUGCAUGGCUGUCGUCAGCUCGUGUUG